RNAcentral lists this long non-coding RNA (616 nucleotides) under Polistes fuscatus (common paper wasp). RNAcentral's name for it is "uncharacterized LOC122518648". Lineage: Eukaryota; Metazoa; Arthropoda; Insecta; Hymenoptera; Vespidae. The record is from RNAcentral.
AUGAGAAGGCACCAUCGCCUUCCUUCAAAUCCGAUAACACUUGGAAAGAGGUCAAAAGAAGAACAAAGCAUUCACAUAAAGAUGGAGUAAAAGGACAACUAGAGUCAAAAUGACUCAGGAUCUCGAACAAGCAAUCAAUAAUGGAUUGCGUUAUUACGAAAAGGGUUUAUAGAGUGGAGAUGGGCAAAGAUAAGGUUUCGCUGUCUGCCGGGAUGUUAUUACCGAAACAAAUGUCUGCCGUAUAAAAUGUGGGCUCCUAAUACUAUAAUAAAUAACAUAUUAAAAUUUCAGAUUUGUUAAAAUAUAUUUGUAUAUUAAAAGUUUGUAUUUGUAUAUUAAAAGUUAUUUAUAUAUUAAAGUAUAUUGUACUCUUAAGCUAUAUUGCAAUCGCCAAUAUAUGUGUGUCAAAUGUGCAAAACCACAUCCAACUGUGGAAUGCAAAAAAUUUGUUGAAACUCCACCAACUUGUCUCCUAUGUGGAGACCACCAUACCGCGAACUACAAAAAAUGCCCUAAUUAUAAAGAAUUGCUCAAGAAGACGGUUCCGGUACCCAGACUAAAAGAAAAUCCAAACAUUCAAUUAGUUUAUUACCCCUCUAAACAGAAUAUCCAAAAA